GCGGGUUUAGCUCAGUUGGGAGAGCGUCAGACUGAAGUCAAACUUCAAUCAUCCGAUAUCUGAAGGUCAUGUGUUCGAUCCACAUAAACCGCA
This is a transfer RNA of 93 nucleotides. It matches the Rfam family "tRNA". Rfam says of the family: Transfer RNA (tRNA) molecules are approximately 80 nucleotides in length. Their secondary structure includes four short double-helical elements and three loops (D, anti-codon, and T loops). Further hydrogen bonds mediate the characteristic L-shaped molecular structure. tRNAs have two regions of fundamental functional importance: the anti-codon, which is responsible for specific mRNA codon recognition, and the 3' end, to which the tRNAs corresponding amino acid is attached (by aminoacyl-tRNA synthetases). tRNAs cope with the degeneracy of the genetic code in two manners: having more than one tRNA (with a specific anti-codon) for a particular amino acid; and 'wobble' base-pairing, i.e. permitting non-standard base-pairing at the 3rd anti-codon position. The record is from Rfam.